RNA transcript from Rosa chinensis, 5730 nucleotides. RefSeq lists it as uncharacterized. Lineage: Eukaryota; Viridiplantae; Streptophyta; Magnoliopsida; Rosales; Rosaceae. The transcript has 10 exons. The record is from RefSeq and is a predicted model, not a curated record.
UCUUACCUCCCUCCCCUUUUUUGUCCCAUAUUUUUCUUCUCUCCUUAUCUUCUUCUUCUUCUUCUUCUCCUCCCCAGACUCUCCACUGUCUGUUCUUUUCUUUUCUUUUCCUUUCUCUCCCUAGUCCUCCUUCCCCAUCAGAUCAAUCGUAGAUAAUGAGAGGAUUCCUAAUUCUUCUUUGUCUGUACUCAACCCCAAAAUCGGAGGACGAAUCCGAGUUUGAGCUUGAUUUCAUGAACCCAGACUUUCAAUGGUGGUGGAAAGGUGCUUUGGAGCAAGAUCUGCUCUCCAGAUCUGUUUUUUUUUUUUUCCCCUUUCUUUUCCUUUUUACCUUUUGGGCCCGAAAAAACCCGAGGACCGGCCCGGUUUUUUUCGGUCCGGGCCUUUCCGGUCCUUAAAACUGAAAAACUAAAGUUGAGCCCGACCCGAAAUAUUCAGGCUCGGUCCCAGGCCUUACAAAUUACAUACCGGGCAGGGACCGUGCCCAGGCCUACCACAAAGCAGGUGGUGGAUUUGGGGUCCAAUCAAGGUCAAGAAUCAAGUCGAAAAACAAAUUAUACUAUAUACGAAAGGCCGGUUAGGUGGGUACUGUUACUACUGUUCAUAAUGUCUUGAAAAGUCGCUUUUGCCCUUGCUUUUAGAUUCAUACCCUUUUGUCAGUUUCCAAACCGUGUUUCCAGAUUCUUUGAAAAAUAUCUGGUUUUUGUCUUCUUUAUCAAGUUCUAGAUCGAUCUGAACUUUACCCCAAUUUUCAGUUAUGCGAUUUGCCCUUUCUGGAAGCAUCCUUCUACACCGACAUCUCUACACCGACAUCAACUCUUCCAGACUAUAAAUUGAAAUCAACUCUUCUAGAUCGAUCUGAACUUUACCCCAAUUUUCAGUUCUGCUUCUGCCCUUUCUAUUCGGUUUACUUACGGUUUUGUGGUUGGAGUCCUGACCUUGAUAUAUCACCUCCACUUGAUUUCUUCUUUCUUCUACAGUCCUGUAAACCAUCUUUAUCAAUUAUCAAGAACGAUCGAGGAGAGAGAGAGAGAGAGAGAGAAAUCGGUUGUGUUUCUUUGCUUUGCACGAAGAGAUAGAGAAAUAGAGAAAUGGUGUGUUUCUUUGGUUUGCACGAAGAGAGAGAGAGAGAUCGGAGGCAAAUUCUCACGUCAUCAUCAUCUGAUAUCGGAGGCUGAAUGUUGGAGAUGGCAAGGAAACAAAUCUUGAGCUAUGCUCGAGGACAGUUCUACAGAGCCAAUGCAUCAAGUACCUUGGACCGAUUAAUUCCAAACCUUCUCCUAACUCCAUUUACCUUCAUCAUAUUCGCUGCAUAAUCAAAUUUAUACAUAUAUCCGAUUGUGUUAUCUUUGUGUUUGAAUGUUUCAGAAAGAAAGAAAAGCCUAUGAAGUAGUAGUCAAAGAUGGCAACUUAAGCUCAUACUAAUUGAUUUCUGAAAUUCUGCAAUCUAUAAAAAAAAAAAUAAAAAAAAUAAAUAAAAAAUAAAACCUCUUUUCUUUCUUCCUUUUGUUAAUUAAACAUCAUAAGAGUAAAAUUCUGGAUAUUACUCUGGGCUCAGUUUCUCCAGAGUUUGGCAAUUAGCACAACUUUUUUGUUUUCUGGAAUAGAGGCUGUAUCAGUUUUACCUACAUUGUUUGUUUUCUUUGUUUUGUGUGUUUUACUGGUUGUUUGUUAAAAAUUUGUUGGGCUACUGUCAUGUAUGCUAGGGACACUUAACCACAGCUUUGUACUGUUAUAAGUUCCUCAACCGAAUCAAAUGAGAGACAGAUGGUGGGGCACUUUAAAGCACCCAAAAAAUUGAUCCGAUUAAGGACAGCCUCUAUAAGAUCUUAAGGCACAGCCUCUAUAAAAUGAGAGGCAGAUUGUAAGGCUGCUAUAAGUUCCUUAAUUGAAUCAAUUUUUUUGUACUUUAAACACUCAUUCCAUGGUUGUGGUUUUUGUUUAGAAGUCAUCACUACUAGAAUAAUGCUAAUAGACAUCAUGUCUUUAAAAUCAGUUAAGAUUUCAACUGAUGUAAAUUGUGUUUAUAACAUCGGUUCUAAAAAAUCUGAUUUCUAUAAAAUAAUUAACAUCGGUUCUUAUGCUGAACUGAUGUCUAUACUUUUCAAACCAAAUUUUAAAAAAACGCGGAAAUGUACUAAGUUUAAAAUUAAGGAAGCGGGAGCAAAAUUUUCACUCCCUCCCAACACUUAGUCAGAUUUCCACGACUGAUUGACUAGGUUUUCCUCUACUUUUCCCCACACCAGCCGCGAUACAGAAACACCGAGACUGACUUCCUCUUUCACCCACACCGCGACCGAUCGUCCUCUUUCCCCACACCGCGAUACAGAGACACCGCAACCGAAGUCAUCUGUCGCCCCUGUCCAGUAACCGACGACCUCUUUCGCCUUCUCUGGCUCCGAUGGCUUGAUUUCCUCCUCCUGGUCCGCCUCCUUCUCUCUCAUCUCUCUUUUGAAAUCCAGCGAAUCUCCCAAUUGCUGAGAUCGAGAAGCCGAAGCCGGAGCUGCAGUGGCCGUCUGUCCUUUCUCUUUCCACGGGCCUCCCCUUCUCAGCCCCUCUCUUCGACCGUCGAGGCGGCGACGGCCAUCGCUCUCAUCGACGGCACUUCUGAUGCAAUUACGGCUAUUAAGGAGCAAGAGAAGCAAAUUAACGAUUUUAGACAACAUUAGUGGGAUUAUAAGAGACCUUCAAGAUUGACGUUGUUAUUGGGUCCACCGAGCUCCGGCAAGACGACGCUACUAUUGGCUCUCGCCGGACGCCUUGGAACUGGUCUUCAGAUGUCAGGUAGCACAACAUACAAUGGCCAUGGCUUAAACGAGUUUGUGCCGCAGAGGACGUCGGCUUAUGUCAUUCAACAGGACUGGUUUGCGGCGGAGAUGACUGUAAGGGAGACUCUUGACUUUGCAUGACGGUGUCAAGGUGUUGGAUUCAAAUAUGAUAUGCUAGUAGAACUAGCAAGAAGGGAAAAGAUUGCGGGGAUAAAACCCGAUGGUGAUCUUGAUAUAUUCAUGAAGUCAUUAGCUCUUGGAGAGAAAGAGACAAGCCUUGUGGUAGAGUACAUCAUGAAGAUUUUAGGGUUGGACAUAUGCGCUGAGACAGGAUAUUCUUUUGAGUUUUCUGAUGCAAGCUUUCUCUGUCUUAGACACAAUGGGAUGUUUCUAACUUUCUAUACUGACUAAUUAUUUAGUUAAUUAGUUCCUUUUCGUUUUCUGUUUUCAGCAGUUGUUGCAAUUCGUUUUCAUGACUCUUGCUAUGUCAAAAUGACUAUAUAAGUGGACCAUAUAAACUCAAAGUCUGUUUAACUAAGCAAACAGAUGAUAAGUUCUCCAAGAACAGAGAAAUUCUAUUGAAUCAAACCAUGCAGCUUAAAAGAAAACAAGACUGAUUUUCCAAAAGCUAAAGGCGGUUGGUAGAUGCCUAGACUUGAAGUGGCAUGGCAUUUAAUAAAUUCAAAUUGUAAGUUAUUGAUCAUUGGUCUUGCACUUGUGGUGAUUCUGUUGAUCAUUCUCAUCACCAAACACCCAAAGAAUUACCUAUACCCAACAUGCAUAACAUCUGGAGCAGCAGCUUUGGUGUUUUCAGCCUUCUACAUCAUGUACCUGUUUCUCCCUCUGCAAUGGAUUGGCAUGAAUGCUAUGCUUGUCUACGUUAUGGCAGCUGAAGGCAUCUUUGCAAGGUUCAUCAACGGGUGGUAUUACAAGGACCCCCAUAAUACGCUAGUACAUUUACAUACCUUCAUUCUUUUCCUACAAUUACCAUGUUAGAUAGAUUAUUAUCUCACCGAAACUCAUUCGAUACGACUGCUCAUGCAGUCAUGCUUGCUAUACAUAGCUGACUAUGAUUACUCGCAUUCUCUUUUCCAUUGAAGUGGUUUUAUAGCUUUACUUUUCAGCUAAUACUGAUAUGAGUAAUAUUUUUGCUACUUGUGGCAGAUAUAUUGGAUCCAGAAGCACAUUUUUGUUGGGAUUUGGCAUUCAAGGAGAGUAGGCAUUCUACUCUAUGUAAUCUUCGCAGAGAUCUUGUUUUGGGGCAUUGUCGCUGACAUUUUGCAUUGGUUGGGCAUAUAUUGGAAGCUUUAAAUUCUACUUUUAGCACUUUGUAUUCAUUGUAGUGAAUCUUGGACUCUUGAACUACUUGUUUAUGCCUUUAUUUCUUCUAAACUCUGUGAAGAACUGCAGUAGCUUAAACUUUUAAUUUUUAAUUUUUCUCUGAGAAUAAAUAAAUAUAUUUAUAUUUAAUAUUUUAAGUUACUAAUUAGAACCUAAUUAACAGGUUAAAAAGAUAGCUUUAAAGAUGACACCAUUAACUAAAAUAAUGCCAUGUAACGUGGAGCAUUGUAGAUUUUACCACUAAUUGUUAUGAUAUGGUUGUGCUCUGCGUUUUAGGGGUCUUUACCGAGCUUAUUCAGCAGAUGCAAGUAAAAGGUGCGCAAGUAUGGGUUUCUUUGAUGCCUCUCUUUAUGGUCCUUUUCAUGCUAGGGAUAAUUUGUUGAUUGUCCAAUGGUACUGCUAGAUCUUAGCAUAUUAUCAUUUCUAGGAAUUAUGUUUGCUCUUGUUGUGAGAUUGGAGUUUCCAGUGCUCUAUCCUGGAUAUAGAACUUAGGGGACUAUAAAACUGGCCUCUUUCUUAUAUGUUUGAAGUUUUGCACCAAGUUAUUGCAUGUCCACUUGGUUUUGGUUUUGAAAUUUGAAAUUGGCCUCUUUGACAGUGCCUUGGUAUUGAUAACAUAGAGUUGAGUUCACCAAAUGUUACUUGUACCGAGUCUACUCUCUGUCAAAAUUCUGAUUUUUUUGAGUGACCAUUAAAGUACUCUAUGGGUAAUAUGAGCUUAGACAAUGCAUUUCUGGUAGUUAAUUUCCUCAAUGCAGCUUUAGUCCUCAUAGCUUAGUUAAAUGAUGACUAAUGUCAAGGUUGAGUCAGUGGAAUUUCAAACUUUCUAGUUGAUGCUCAUGCAAUAAGAUGAAUGUAAAUUGUCAUGAGGGAAUAACUGGUACAUGUGGCUUUGAUUCACGAAUGAUUGCAGGACCUUGUUAGUUUCUGGUACCGUGAUAAUCAACUCAAGUAAACUAGGAUAAUUUUUGUGCUUAAAAUGAUUAUUUCCAUGUUUCAACUUUCAAGGUAAAGAAAGUUGGUUGUUCUGUUCUAUUCCAAAUGAAGUAAACUAUGCAGCUGAAUUUGAUAAUAUAAGAUGGAAAUCCAAAUGUUCUGUUCAGGCUAAUUCUUGACAAUGAUCAGGUCUAAACUAUCCUUUGGAAUGUGAUAACAUAUAAGAUGAAGUGCAUGUUUAUGCAAGCGGCAUUUCUCUUUUUGCUGACAGCCAUGAUUUUAUAUGUUAGCCAGAUAAGAAGGACAAGGAUUUGGAUCGGGCGAGUGAGAGGCAGGAUCUUGAAGGAAAAGAGCUAAAGCAAGAAGCUACUUUGCAUGAACUGGAGCUGGUUGCCGUCCAUGCUCUUCAUGAACUUGUUUCUUUAGUUCACAGUCAUGUCAAUGCUGCAGGGCAAUAUGAUUUUGAGUAAGGCUAGAUUUUGCUGACUAUUUUGUAGUAGAUGUAGUGAUAUCAGGAUGAAUUGUGAACAAAUUAUACGGCAUGUAGUUAUUGCAGUAGCGGUAUCUUCUAGACUAGCCUUAAAGUAGGUUAGGGUUUAAUUUUUGAAGCUACCUCAAGCUCUAAUUUUGUAUAGAAAUUAAUGCAAUUCCCCAAUAUUUGAAUUUCAUGUUAUUUGUGGAUCAA